This 617-nucleotide ribosomal RNA is filed under the name uncultured bacterium. RNAcentral's name for it is "bacterial SSU rRNA". The stretch from base 1 to 542 matches the Rfam family "Bacterial small subunit ribosomal RNA", at positions 338 to 873 of the family's 1533-position model. The record is from RNAcentral.
CCUACGGGAGGCAGCAGUGGGGAAUUUUGGACAAUGGGCGAAAGCCUGAUCCAGCAAUGCCGCGUGUGGGAAGAAGGCCUUCGGGUUGUAAACCACUUUUGUACGGAACGAAACGGUUCGCUUUAAUACAGUGGGCUAAUGACGGUACCGUAAGAAUAAGCACCGGCUAACUACGUGCCAGCAGCCGCGGUAAUACGUAGGGUGCGAGCGUUAAUCGGAAUUACUGGGCGUAAAGCGUGCGCAGGCGGUUAUAUAAGACAGUUGUGAAAUCCCCGGGCUCAACCUGGGAAUUGCAUCUGUGACUGUAUAGCUAGAGUACGGUAGAGGGGGAUGGAAUUCCGCGUGUAGCAGUGAAAUGCGUAGAUAUGCGGAGGAACACCGAUGGCGAAGGCAAUCCCCUGGACCUGUACUGACGCUCAUGCACGAAAGCGUGGGGAGCAAACAGGAUUAGAUACCCUGGUAGUCCACGCCCUAAACGAUGUCAACCGGUUGUUGGGUGCAUUAGUACUCAGUAACGAAGCUAACGCGUGAAGUUGACCGCCGNGGAGGUACGGCCGCGAGUAGAACGUACGAAGAAGUAGACGCGNGAGACGUGCGAGACGACGACGAGGGAGAGG